Podarcis lilfordi (Lilford's wall lizard) is the source of this 78-nucleotide non-coding RNA. The record is from the annotation of a GenBank genome assembly. Lineage: Eukaryota; Metazoa; Chordata; Lepidosauria; Squamata; Lacertidae.
UAUAUAUGUUUGUGUGUGUAUAUGUGUGUGUGUGUGUGUGUAUAUACACAUACAUAUAUAUACACGCAGACACAUGUU